GCACAAGCGGUGGAGCAUGUGGUUAAUUCGACGCAACGCGAAGAACCUUACCAGGGCUUGGCAUCCCCUGACCGCGUAUGAAGUACGUUUUCACCCUCGGGUGACAGGGAGACAGGUGGUGCAUGGUUGUCGUCAGCUCGUGUCGUGAGAUGUUGGGUUAAGUCCCGCAACGAGCGCAACCCCUAUUGUUAGUUGCCAUCAUUCAGUUGGGCACUCUAGCGAGACUGCCGGUAAUAAACCGGAGGAAGGUGGGGAUGACGUCAAAUCAUCAUGCCCCUUAUGACCUGGGCUACACACGUGCUACAAUGGUUGGUACAACGAGUUGCGAGUCGGUGACGGCGAGCUAAUCUCUUAAAGCCAAUCUCAGUUCGGAUUGUAGGCUGCAACUCGCCUACAUGAAGUCGGAAUCGCUAGUAAUCGCGGAUCAGCACGCCGCGGUGAAUACGUUCCCGGGCCUU
This 458-nucleotide ribosomal RNA is filed under the name uncultured Streptococcus sp. RNAcentral describes it as "bacterial SSU rRNA". It matches the Rfam family "Bacterial small subunit ribosomal RNA", at positions 923 to 1382 of the family's 1533-position model. Lineage: Bacteria; Bacillati; Bacillota; Bacilli; Lactobacillales; Streptococcaceae. The record is from RNAcentral.